CCUACGGGUGGCAGCAGUGAGGAAUAUUGGUCAAUGGACGAGAGUCUGAACCAGCCAAGUAGCGUGAAGGAUGACUGCCCUAUGGGUUGUAAACUUCUUUUAUAUGGGAAUAAAAUGUUCCACGUGUGGGUUUUUGUAGGUACCAUAUGAAUAAGGAUCGGCUAACUCCGUGCCAGCAGCCUCGGUAAUACGGAGGAUCCGAGCGUUAUCCGGAUUUAUUGGGUUUAAAGGGAGCGUAGGUGGAUUGUUAAGUCAGUUGUGAAAGUGUGCGGCUCAACCGUAGAAGUGCAGUUGAAACUGGGCGACUUGAGUACAGUAGAGGUGAGUGGAAUUCGUGGUGUAGCGGUGAAAUGCUUAGAUAUAACGAAGAACACCGAUUGCGAAGGCAGCUGACUGGACUGCAACUGACACUGAGGCUCGAAAGUGUGGGUAUCGAACAGGAUUAGAUACCCCUGUAGUC
Molecule: ribosomal RNA, 460 nt
Filed under: uncultured bacterium
Lineage: Bacteria
Description: partial 16S ribosomal RNA
Rfam family: Bacterial small subunit ribosomal RNA
Source: RNAcentral